GUGGUUAGUCUAUACGAGCGCACCCUAUUCUUAGUUGCCAGCGGUUCGGCCGGGGACUCUAAGAAAACUGCCAGUGCAAGCUGUGAGGAAGGUGGGGAUGACGUCAAAUCAUCACGGCCCUUACGACCUGGGCCACACACGUGCUACAAUGGUAGGUACAAAGGGCAGCCACUUGGCAACAAGGAGCUAAUCUCUAAAACCUAUCUCAGUUCGGAUUGGAGUCUGAAACUCGACUCUAUGAAGCUGGAAUCGCUAGUAAUCGCGCAUCAGCCAUGGCGCGGUGAAUACGUUCCCGGGCCUUGUACACACCGCCCGUCAAGCCAUGGAAGCUGGGAGUACCUGAAGUCGGUAACCAUUUAGGAGCUGCCUAGGGUAAAACUAGUAACUGGGGCUAAGUCGUAACAAGGUAGCCGUACCGGAAGGUGUGGCUGGAACACCUCCUUUCU
This 446-nucleotide ribosomal RNA is filed under the name uncultured Bacteroidota bacterium. Its description in RNAcentral is "bacterial SSU rRNA". It matches the Rfam family "Bacterial small subunit ribosomal RNA", at positions 1074 to 1533 of the family's 1533-position model. The record is from RNAcentral. Lineage: Bacteria; Pseudomonadati; Bacteroidota.